AGAAGUCGGAGUGCUGUUUUUGUUGUUGGUGAAAGGUGAGGGGAACAGCUGAUCCGUCUGUUGGGAGGACAGAUAUCUCAAGGCCAGGAUGGAAGAAUCACCACUAAGCCGGGCACCAUCCCGUGGUGGAGUCAACUUUCUCAAUGUAGCCCGGACCUACAUCCCCAACACCAAGGUGGAAUGUCACUACACCCUUCCCCCAGGCACCAUGCCCAGUGCCAGUGACUGGAUUGGCAUCUUCAAGGUGGAGGCUGCCUGUGUUCGGGAUUACCACACAUUUGUGUGGUCUUCCGUGCCUGAAAGUACAACUGAUGGUUCCCCCAUUCACACCAGUGUCCAGUUCCAAGUAAAAGGGGAUGCCUGGCUUAUAGGGACAUUACGAGGAUUUAAAAUGAAAGCUGUAGGCCAGGUGUGGUGGUGCAUGCCUGUAGUCCCAGCUACUCACAAGGCUGAGGCAGGAGAAUCUCUUGAACCCGGGAGGCAGAGGUUGCAACAAGCCAAGAUCGCGCCACUGCACUCCAGCCUGGGCGAUGGAGCAAGACUCUGUCUCAAGAU
Molecule: small RNA, 555 nt
Filed under: Pan troglodytes (chimpanzee)
Lineage: Eukaryota; Metazoa; Chordata; Mammalia; Primates; Hominidae
Description: processed transcript
Source: RNAcentral